AGCGCCCAGUUCCCGCCGCCGGCGCGUGAGGCUGGGUCGCGUGCUCGUGGGGCUCCGCGUGGGCGGGCGCGCUGCGCGGCCGUUGCUGCUGAGGGGGGCGCGCGGCGCGGCCGUUACUGCUGAGGGGCGGCUCUCGGCGCGGCCGUUGCUGCUGAGGGGGGCGCGCGGCGCGGCCGUUGCUGCUGAGGGGGGCGCGCGGCGCGGCCGUUGCUGCUGAGGGGGGCGCGCGGCGCGGCCGUUGGCGCUGAGGGGAGCGGCCGCGGGAAGCGGAGGGGAAGGGUGAGGGAGAAGGUGAAGUGGCGGCGGCGGUGCUCGCGGGUCGGGCGCCUUCUCUACAGCGGCAAAGGAGCGGAGCGUAACAGAUAGAAGGAGCGCAGAAGCUGAAAGCAUGGAGACAUAGUUGUUCAGGAUCCUCUUCCCAAAAAGUAUGUGUCUGGCUGUGCCUAAUAAGCUCUUCAGAGGUGAGAUUUGGGGCAGGAAUAAUACCGAUUUGAUAAUUUAUGUGUAAUGUAUACCCUACUGUGAGUUGUACUUUGAAAUCAAGGUAUCAUGGUGUUUUAUUUUGAGGCAUGCUUCAUUUUUAUGUGUUUUCGGGACAGAAAAGUAUAAUCAAGUACAUUAAUGUGACCAGAAGGAAUUGGGUUUGGAUGUAGAGACAUUAGAAAAUAUAAUUCCACUAUUCCUAGCAUAAAAAACACACUGCCAGUACUUUGCCUGCCAGACUAGAAGGAUCUAAGUGGAGAUUGCUCAGGGAUAUCCUGGGCAAGAGGAGUGUGUUUUUAUAAGCAUGUGAGUACUAAGAGAAAUCCGCAGCUGUAGGAACAAGGGAGAUUGGAAGUUAAUACCAACAGCUUUGUUUCAGAGCAGCUUUACAACUUCUGGGAGAGCGUCCUGCUGUUUGGUGAUGAUUGCUGUUUGUGUUUCCAGUAGCAAUAUUAAACUGCCUCAAACUUGUUUUUACAGGGGAAAAACCCUCUUGAAAGAAGAUGGGGCUAAAUUCUACAUGUGAAUUCUAGGAGUAUCUGUGUCUAAACCUGUUAAUUUUUGGUUAGGGUAGGGUGGAUGUGUUUAAUCAUCUGGAAUUGAUGCCUUUUGGGAGCAGUAAUAUUUCUGGAUGUCAAGCAGAGCUAAUAAAAGCUAAUUUUAGGCUAGGUCUUUACUUCGAUUUUUAAACAAAGUUAAAAUUUGAAGCUUUAAUGAGAGCUUCUCUAGUCUAUGUAAUCUUGAUGGAGAGGGGCUGGAACCCAGCUUUCUGUGCCUAAAAUUAGCCUGGACUGCUUCUAUAGAGGCAAAUCCAGUUAGGAUCUCAUUAUGUGCUGCUCCUCUCCUUGGGCUGUCAGUAAGCCUUGAGCUAUUACGGCACUGGUUUUGGUAGUUGAGUGGCUGUGCUGCCCCGUCAGGGAUGGCUCCUCUGCUCUCCAGGCGUUAGCAAGGUUUUUGCAAUGAGUGUCCCUGUGCUGCAGAAGCUGUGGGUAAGUUUUUGAAGUCUGGAAAAUGGAAGUGGAAACUCCAGCUGUAAUUUUGGUGUCCGUGUGAAUGUAAAGCAUUUGAAUGUAUGAAUAAGUCAAUAAAGAGACAUGACUGGC
Molecule: long non-coding RNA, 1586 nt
Organism: Pyrgilauda ruficollis (rufous-necked snowfinch)
Lineage: Eukaryota; Metazoa; Chordata; Aves; Passeriformes; Passeridae
Exons: 2
Source: RefSeq, a predicted model, not a curated record